GUGAAUCAUCGAAUUUUUGAACGCAAAUUGCACUUUCUGGUAUUCCGGAAAGUAUGCCUGUUUGAGGGUCAGUUAAAUAAAAAACGGUGUUGUUGCUGCCUUUUGUGGUGACGCGACGGAAUUUGGUCGUCUUAGCUUCGGUUAAGUGACCUAAAAUUUUUGCAUGAUUUUUGAACGUAUUUAAAUAGCUUACGUACGUUUGAGAUCUCGAAUGAUUACUAGGUUUGGUCAUUCUCAUGAUUCGCGCCUAUAAUUUUUCAUCAAAUGACCUUAAAUCAGGUUAGAAUACCCGCCGAACUUU
This 301-nucleotide unclassified non-coding RNA is filed under the name Glomus sp. RNAcentral's name for it is "partial contains 5.8S ribosomal RNA, internal transcribed spacer 2, and large subunit ribosomal RNA". The stretch from base 1 to 71 matches the Rfam family "5.8S ribosomal RNA", at positions 84 to 154 of the family's 154-position model. Lineage: Eukaryota; Fungi; Glomeromycota; Glomeromycetes; Glomerales; Glomeraceae. The record is from RNAcentral.